Molecule: long non-coding RNA, 107 nt
Organism: Macadamia integrifolia
Lineage: Eukaryota; Viridiplantae; Streptophyta; Magnoliopsida; Proteales; Proteaceae
Exons: 2
Source: RefSeq, a predicted model, not a curated record
AAGAACUUCCAUUGACAACAUUCUCUGAAAUUUGUGAUACACAAGAAAAUUUUGAGUGUUUUAGAGUAAAGAGGAUUAUUUUUCACUCAAAUCUAUGGCAAGAACAA